Molecule: ribosomal RNA, 926 nt
Filed under: uncultured organism
Description: bacterial SSU rRNA
Rfam family: Bacterial small subunit ribosomal RNA
Source: RNAcentral
UGGAUCCAGACUUUGAUCAUGGCUCAGGAUGAACGCUAGCUACAGGCUUAACACAUGCAAGUCGAGGGGAAACGACAUCGAAAGCUUGCUUUUGAUGGGCGUCGACCGGCGCACGGGUGAGUAACGCGUAUCCAACCUGCCCACCACUUGGGGAUAACCUUGCGAAAGUAAGACUAAUACCCAAUGAUAUCUCUAGAAGACAUCUGAAGGAGAUUAAAGAUUUAUCGGUGAUGGAUGGGGAUGCGUCUGAUUAGCUUGUUGGCGGGGUAACGGCCCACCAAGGCUACGAUCAGUAGGGGUUCUGAGAGGAAGGUCCCCCACAUUGGAACUGAGACACGGUCCAAACUCCUACGGGAGGCAGCAGUGAGGAAUAUUGGUCAAUGGGCGAGAGCCUGAACCAGCCAAGUAGCGCGCAGGAUGACGGCCCUAUGGGUUGUAAACUGCUUUUAUAAGGGAAUAAAGUGAGCCUCGUGAGGCUUUUUGCAUGUACCUUAUGAAUAAGGACCGGCUAAUUCCGUGCCAGCAGCCGCGGUAAUACGGAAGGUCCGGGCGUUAUCCGGAUUUAUUGGGUUUAAAGGGAGCGUAGGCCGGAGAUUAAGCGUGUUGUGAAAUGUAGAUGCUCAACAUCUGCACUGCAGCGCGAACUGGUUUCCUUGAGUACGCACAAAGUGGGCGGAAUUCGUGGUGUAGCGGUGAAAUGCUUAGAUAUCACGAAGAACUCCGAUUGCGAAGGCAGCUCACUGGAGCGCAACUGACGCUGAAGCUCGAAAGUGCGGGUAUCGAACAGGAUUAGAUACCCUGGUAGUCCGCACGGUAAACGAUGGAUGCCCGCUGUUGGUCUGAAUAGGUCAGCGGCCAAGCGAAAGCAUUAAGCAUCCCACCUGGGGAGUACGCCGGCAACGGUGCAACUCAAAUGAAUUGACGGA